RNAcentral lists this ribosomal RNA (366 nucleotides) under Triticum aestivum (bread wheat). Its description in RNAcentral is "partial small subunit ribosomal RNA". Lineage: Eukaryota; Viridiplantae; Streptophyta; Magnoliopsida; Poales; Poaceae. The record is from RNAcentral.
AUGGCGCCCAUGGCCAGCCUUGAGAAGAUGGCGCCGGAGACCGAGGCAACCCCGGCGUUGCCGAUGUCGGCCUUUGUGAGGUUGAGGUUGUCGCGGAUGAUGGGGAUGAGCGGAGCGGCGGCGAAGGUGGAGACAACGCAGGUGAAGAAGGACAUCCAUCCGAGAUGGAAGGCACGCAUGUGUGGGUUGCCGAAGGAGAAUAUCUUGAUGCACAUGGCCUUGUGCUCGGAGUCCACCGGCAGCGAGAAGGUUAUGGGCGGUGUGGCGGCGGCGGCUGAGGAGCCCGCCUCCAUUUCCAUACCCUCUGGUGUGGAGGCCGGAAGGCUUCUACUUUCCUUGCUCCUUGGAGCUGAACUGAACAACUAA